This is a long non-coding RNA of Neofelis nebulosa (Clouded leopard), 1660 nucleotides long. RefSeq lists it as uncharacterized. The transcript is spliced from 3 exons. Lineage: Eukaryota; Metazoa; Chordata; Mammalia; Carnivora; Felidae. The record is from RefSeq and is a predicted model, not a curated record.
UUUUACUUCCCGGGCGCUGAGGCCAAAGCCGCCCCUCCCCGGUACGGCCGAGGGGCCUUGGAAAGCCGGGUUUAGCCCUGGCCGAGAGCCGCUGGCCUUGGGAGGACCUCUGAUCUGGUCCCGCCUCUGCCGCUUGCGCUGUGUGGCCGUGGCCGAGUCAUUUCUACAUUGACUAUCUGUAUCCCUGCUGGCAUCCAGUGAAUAUUGAUGGAAUGACACAUGAAUAAUGUGUGUUCUAGAGCCAGUGGUGUGCUGAUAAAUGUUCGACAGCCGACUCUCUGGAGGGAAGAGAGCAAUAUAUGCAUAUAUAUGGUACAUAAAUUUAUUCCAAAUUUCACUGAUAUAAAGGAUGUAGAGCACACAAUUUACAAAUAAUAAUAGUACAAUUGCAAAUUCCAUAUAACUCGUUGAUUCUCAAGAAUCCUUUCAUUGGGGCGCCUGGCUGGCUCAGUCCAUAGAGCAUACGACUUUUGAUCUCGGGGUUGUGAGCCCCGCGUUGGGUGUAGACAUUACUUAAAAAUAAGAAUCUUUUUCUUCAGGUUUAUUUAUUUGAUUUUUGAGGGGGGGGGGGAAUCCCAAAAUCAGUGCUGUCGGUGUGGAGCCCUAUGCAGGGCUCGAUCUCACUAACCAGGAGAUCAUAACCUGAGCCAGAAUCAGGAGUUGGAUGCUUAACUGACUGAGCCACCCAAGAACCCCAAAAAUAAAAAUUAAAAAAAAAGAAUCCUUUCAUUGAUUUUUGGCAGACUCUUGUAUGGGUAGCCUGUGGUAUGAAAUUGCAGCAUGAAUGUUGGUUGAUGGUCUCCUCAAUGUCAGUGUGAGAGGAGAGUGAAAAAAAGAGUGUCUUGUUAUGGGAGUGACUUGCUUGCUGAAUCAGAAAACAGUUUUCAAAUACUGAAAGAACAUCUCCUCAGUUUCUUUGCUAUUCACAUUGUAAUGGCGAUAGGCAUACAUAGCACAUUAAAUUAAAAUGUAAACUGUUAACUUUUUUUCUAUCACGUUCUUAAAUCUAGAUAAUCGACAAAACAAUAAAUCAAGGCCCUGAUUUGUAGCAUUUGCUGAUAUCCAUGGUGUAAAUACUCCCACCAUGGCUGAUUUCAAUCUGCCGCACACAUUGUUACUGAACAAAAGAGAGGAGUGGUAACAUACCCUUUUGUAGCAGUUUCCUCAUGCAGGCACAAUAACAACUCCAAGAGCAUAGUGGCUGUGUUUAACAAUUUGGCUUGCAAAAUUCCUGAAGUGUUAACAGUUGGCCUUCGCAGUCCUGGACAAGCCAGCUCCCCAGCACCUUUACGCCUCAGUUUUCUCAUCUGCAAAGUAGGGAUAAGGACCGCUGCUUCACUUACUUGCAGGCCUGUUGUGAAGAUCAAAUAAGCUACCUCUCAGGUGUCACUCAGAUUUCUGGAGAGAAGAAGAGAAGUUGCUAUAGGAUCACAGAACACUUGAAGCCAAAGGAGAUCACCCAAGAUCCUUGGCUGUCUCUGGCAAACCUUUCUGGCCCCGGAACAGGUUAGCCCAUGAAUGCAAGGUCUGUAGCUGUGCAACGCCCUCUGCUGUCCAGCUACUUUCUUGGUUGGGGAGGGAAGCUAUGUCCCCACCUGGCGUGUCCCCAUCUGGGGUAUCUCGGCUCUCCUCCAGAGCACACAGAAGCACAGGGAAACGC